Molecule: ribosomal RNA, 308 nt
Filed under: uncultured soil bacterium
Lineage: Bacteria
Description: bacterial SSU rRNA
Rfam family: Bacterial small subunit ribosomal RNA
Source: RNAcentral
AGGAUAAACGCUGGCGGCGUGCUUAACACAUGCAAGUCGAACGAUGAAGCCGGAGCUUGCUCUGGUGGAUUAGUGGCGAACGGGUGAGUAACACGUGAGUAACCUGCCCUUGACUCUGGGAUAAGCACUGGAAACGGUGUCUAAUACCGGAUACGAGCUUUAGCCGCAUGGCUAGGAGCUGGAAAGAAUUUCGGUCAAGGAUGGACUCGCGGCCUAUCAGGUAGUUGGUGAGGUAACGGCCACCAAGCCUACGACGGGUAGCCGGCCUGAGAGGGUGACCGGCCACACUGGGACUGAGACACGGCCCA